RNAcentral lists this unclassified non-coding RNA (1553 nucleotides) under Hevea brasiliensis (rubber tree). The record is from RNAcentral. Lineage: Eukaryota; Viridiplantae; Streptophyta; Magnoliopsida; Malpighiales; Euphorbiaceae.
GUUGCUUUCUAAGUGCAAAUUCGCAGUUUUUGGAGUUGGAAGCACAGCUUACGGCGGCACUUUCAAUGCCGUGGCUAAAGAUUUUUCGAGGCGAUUGAGGGAAUUGGGCGCCAACGAGAUUGUUGAGGUUGGGAAGGGUGACGUGGAUGGUGGUGAACUGGAUGGGAUUUUUGACCAAUGGAGUGGGAAGGUGCUUAGGAUUUUGAAGGGAGGUAGCAUGCAGAAUGGACUGGUUUUUAGUAAUGGAUGUACCGGUGGUGAGAGCGAUAACGAGAACAUUGAAGAUGGGUUUGAAAGUGAAGAUGACGAGAAUGGUGAUGUGGAGUCGGGGAUCGUCGACCUUGAGGAUAUUGCGGGUAAAGGGCCUUCAAGGAGAUCUAAUACAGUGGCUGAAGUUAACGGGAAAGCGAAUGGCCAAAAAGAAAUGGUGACUCCAGUGAUCAGGGCCAACUUAGAAAAGCAGGGAUACAAGAUUAUUGGUUCACACAGUGGUGUUAAGAUUUGUCGAUGGACCAAAUCACAACUUAGAGGGCGAGGAGGUUGCUACAAGCACUCAUUUUAUGGAAUAGAAAGUCACAGGUGCAUGGAGGCAACUCCAAGUUUGGCUUGUGCCAACAAAUGCGUUUUUUGUUGGAGGCAUCACACAAAUCCUGUGGGAAAGAACUGGCAGUGGAAGAUGGAUGAUCCCCUAGAAAUUGUGAAUUCUGCCAUAGAUCAGCAUACAAAGAUGAUUAAGCAAAUGAAAGGGGUUCCAGGUGUUACACAGGAACGAUUGACUGAAGGACUCUCUCCAAGGCAUUGUGCUCUGUCACUUGUUGGUGAACCUAUCAUGUAUCCAGAGAUUAAUAAACUUGUUGAUGAGCUCCACCGAAGGCAGAUAUCAACUUUUCUGGUGACAAAUGCGCAGUUCCCUGAAAAGAUAAAAAUGCUAAAGCCUGUCACCCAGUUAUAUGUCAGUGUGGAUGCUGCAACGAAGGAUAGCUUGAAGGCAAUUGAUAGGCCUCUAUUUGGGGACUUUUGGGAGCGCUUUAUUGAUUCGUUGAAAUCUCUAAAGGAGAAACAGCAGCGGACUGUUUAUCGCUUGACACUGGUGAAAGGUUGGAAUACAGAGGAUGUAGAUGCUUAUUUUAACCUCUUUAAAAUUGGACAGCCUGAUUUUAUCGAAAUUAAAGGCGUUACAUAUUGUGGAUCGUCUGCUACAUCAAAGUUGACAAUGGAGAAUGUGCCCUGGCAUUCUGAUGUCAAAGCUUUCUCAGAGGCCUUAGCUCUGAAAAGCAAAGGAGAAUAUGAGGUUGCUUGUGAGCACGCCCACUCAUGUUGUGUCCUCUUGGCAAAAACUGAGAAGUUCAAGGUCAAUGGCCAAUGGUUUACAUGGAUAGACUAUGAAAGUUUCCAUGAUCUGGUUGCUUCUGGAAAACCUUUCAAUAGCAUGGAUUACAUGGCUGCCACACCAUCCUGGGCAGUUUAUGGAGCACAAGAGGGUGGAUUUGAUCCAGAUCAGUCUCGAUACAGGAAGGAGCGACAUCAUAGGUCAAGCCACUGACCAAACAGGC